GAUGAACGCUGGCGGCGUGCCUAAUACAUGCAAGUCGAGCGAACAGACGAGGAGCUUGCUCCUCUGACGUUAGCGGCGGACGGGUGAGUAACACGUGGAUAACCUACCUAUAAGACUGGGAUAACUUCGGGAAACCGGAGCUAAUACCGGAUAAUAUAUUGAACCGCAUGGUUCAAUAGUGAAAGACGGUUUUGUUGUCACUUAUAGAUGGAUCCGCGCCGCAUUAGCUAGUUGGUAAGGUAACGGCUUACCAAGGCGACGAUGCGUAGCCGACCUGAGAGGGUGAUCGGCCACACUGGAACUGAGACACGGUCCAGACUCCUACGGGAGGCAGCAGUAGGGAAUCUUCCGCAAUGGGCGAAAGCCUGACGGAGCAACGCCGCGUGAGUGAUGAAGGUCUUCGGAUCGUAAAACUCUGUUAUUAGGGAAGAACAAAUGUGUAAGUAACUAUGCACGUCUUGACGGUACCUAAUCAGAAAGCCACGGCUAACUACGUG
Molecule: ribosomal RNA, 497 nt
Filed under: uncultured bacterium
Lineage: Bacteria
Description: partial 16S ribosomal RNA
Rfam family: Bacterial small subunit ribosomal RNA
Source: RNAcentral